AUGGUCCAGCGUUUGACAUACCGCUGUAGGCUUUCCUACAACACAGCCUCUAACAAAACUAGGCUGUCUCGAACCCCUGGCAACAGGAUUGUUUACCUCUACACCAAGAAGAUUGGGAAAGCACCUAAAUCCGCAUGUGGCGUGUGCCGGGGCAGACUGCGAGGGGUUCGUGCUGUGAGACCCAAAGUCCUUCUGAGAUUGUCUAAGACGAAGAAGCGCGUCAUGACGCAGGGCCUAUGGUGGGUCCAUGUGUGCCAAGUGUGUCUGUGACGGGAUCAAGCGGGCUUUCCUAUUGAGGAGCAGAAAAUCAUUGUGAAAGUGCAGAAGGCACAAGCACAGAGUCAGAAAGCAAAAUAG
This 357-nucleotide long non-coding RNA is filed under the name Mus musculus (house mouse). RNAcentral's name for it is "long non-coding RNA chrX:102208401-102208758". Lineage: Eukaryota; Metazoa; Chordata; Mammalia; Rodentia; Muridae. The record is from RNAcentral.